This 440-nucleotide ribosomal RNA is filed under the name uncultured bacterium. Its description in RNAcentral is "partial 16S ribosomal RNA". It matches the Rfam family "Bacterial small subunit ribosomal RNA", at positions 338 to 795 of the family's 1533-position model. The record is from RNAcentral.
CCUACGGGAGGCAGCAGUGGGGAAUAUUGCACAAUGGGGGAAACCCUGAUGCAGCGACGCAGCGUGAGCGAUGAAGUAUUUAGGUAUGUAAAGCUCUAUCAGCAGGGAAGAAGAUGACGGUACCUGACUAAGAAGCCCCGGCUAACUACGUGCCAGCAGCCGCGGUACUACGUAGGGGGCAAGAGUUAUCCGGAGUUACUGGGUGUAAAAGGAGCGUAGACGGCUGUGCAAGCCAGAUGUGAAAGCACGGGGCUCAACCCCGGGACUGCCUUUGGAACCGUGUGGCUGGAGUGUCGGAGAGGCAGGCGGAAUUCGUAGUGUAGCGGUGAAAUGCGUAGAUAUUAGGAGGAACACCAGUGGCGAAGGCGGCCUGCUGGACGAUGACUGACGUUGAGGCUCGAAAGCGUGGGGAGCAAACAGGAUUAGAUACCCCAGUAGUC